UACGUAGGGUGCGAGCGGUAAUCGGAAUUACUGGGCGUAAAGCGUGCGCAGGCGGUUUUGUAAGCCAGAUGUGAAAUCCCCGGGCUUAACCUGGGAAUGGCAUUUGGGACUGCAAGGCUUGAGUGCGGCAGAGGAGACUGGAAUUCCUGGUGUAGCAGUGAAAUGCGUAGAUAUCAGGAGGAAUACCGAUGGCGAAGGCAGGUCUCUGGGCUGACACUGACGCUCAUGCACGAAAGCGUGGGGAGCAAACAGG
This 253-nucleotide ribosomal RNA is filed under the name uncultured bacterium. Its description in RNAcentral is "partial 16S ribosomal RNA". It matches the Rfam family "Bacterial small subunit ribosomal RNA", at positions 524 to 776 of the family's 1533-position model. The record is from RNAcentral.